Arvicola amphibius (Eurasian water vole) is the source of this 220-nucleotide long non-coding RNA. RefSeq lists it as uncharacterized. The transcript has 3 exons. Lineage: Eukaryota; Metazoa; Chordata; Mammalia; Rodentia; Cricetidae. The record is from RefSeq and is a predicted model, not a curated record.
GGAAGCGCUUCCUUAGCAAUGGGAGCUAGGAGGCGAGUCCUGCAGCCCGGCCCCUCGCCGCUGAUGGGUCCUCUGGGCUUUGCCUGCAGACAUGGAAUAUCCCGUCCAACAUUCCCAAUGACCUGGCUGCCCAGCUGGCAAGUGGAAGGUGGAUGUUUCAGAAAUGGAGAUGCUUCACAGUUUCAGGAAGUCUCAUUUAUUGAUUGUUGCUCCCAGAGUC